CAGUAGCCACGGUAAUACAGAGUGUGCGAGCGUUAAUCGGAUUUACUGGGCGUAAAGCGUGCGUAGGCGGCUUUUUAAGUCGGAUGUGAAAUCCCUGAGCUUAACUUAGGAAUUGCAUUCGAUACUGGGAAGCUAGAGUAUGGGAGAGGAUGGUAGAAUUCCAGGUGUAGCGGUGAAAUGCGUAGAGAUCUGGAGGAAUACCGAUGGCGAAGGCAGCCAUCUGGCCUAAUACUGACGCUGAGGUACGAAAGCAUGGGGAGCAAACAGGAUUAGAUACCCCCGUAGUCCCUGUCUCUUAUAC
Molecule: ribosomal RNA, 301 nt
Filed under: uncultured bacterium
Lineage: Bacteria
Description: partial 16S ribosomal RNA
Rfam family: Bacterial small subunit ribosomal RNA
Source: RNAcentral